AUUGAACGCUGGCGGCAGGCCUAACACAUGCAAGUCGAGCGGUAGAGAGGUGCUUGCAUCUCUUGAGAGCGGCGGACGGGUGAGUAAUGCCUAGGAAUCUGCCUAGUGGUGGGGGAUAACGUUUCGGAAACGGACGCUAAUACCGCAUACGUCCUACGGGAGAAAGCGGGGGAUCUUCGGACCUCGCGCCAUUAGAUGAGCCUAGGUCGGAUUAGCUAGUUGGUGAGGUAAUGGCUCACCAAGGCGACGAUCCGUAACUGGUCUGAGAGGAUGAUCAGUCACACUGGAACUGAGACACGGUCCAGACUCCUACGGGAGGCAGCAGUGGGGAAUAUUGGACAAUGGGCGAAAGACCUGAUCCAGCCAUGCCGCGUGUGUG
Molecule: ribosomal RNA, 379 nt
Filed under: uncultured bacterium
Lineage: Bacteria
Description: bacterial SSU rRNA
Rfam family: Bacterial small subunit ribosomal RNA
Source: RNAcentral